AAGUCGUAACAAGGUUUCCGUAGGUGAACCUGCGGAAGGAUCAUUAAAAAAUCUGUGGCUGCAAAGCCUUUAUAUUUUGUGCAACGAACGAGUUUUUUUAACGAGUAUCGCAGAUUGGAAGACAAUUUAUUUAAUAAAUACAACUUUCAACAGUGGAUCUCUCGGCUCUU
RNAcentral lists this unclassified non-coding RNA (170 nucleotides) under fungal sp. Its description in RNAcentral is "partial internal transcribed spacer region". The stretch from base 1 to 46 matches the Rfam family "Eukaryotic small subunit ribosomal RNA", at positions 1786 to 1831 of the family's 1831-position model. Lineage: Eukaryota; Fungi. The record is from RNAcentral.